UUAAAUUGAAGAGUUUGAUCAUGGCUCAGAUUGAACGCUGGCGGCAGGCCUAACACAUGCAAGUCGAACGGUAACAGGAAACAGCUUGCUGUUUCGCUGACGAGUGGCGGACGGGUGAGUAAUGUCUGGGAAACUGCCUGAUGGAGGGGGAUAACUACUGGAAACGGUAGCUAAUACCGCAUAACGUCGCAAGACCAAAGAGGGGGACCUUCGGGCCUCUUGCCAUCGGAUGUGCCCAGAUGGGAUUAGCUAGUAGGUGGGGUAAC
This 266-nucleotide ribosomal RNA is filed under the name Escherichia coli. RNAcentral describes it as "partial 16S ribosomal RNA". It matches the Rfam family "Bacterial small subunit ribosomal RNA", at positions 1 to 261 of the family's 1533-position model. The record is from RNAcentral. Lineage: Bacteria; Pseudomonadati; Pseudomonadota; Gammaproteobacteria; Enterobacterales; Enterobacteriaceae.